AAGCACAUUUCAUUGUCCUGCUCUCUGACCUUGUGAGAGAUGAGAUAUUUCUGAUGUGCUAGAUAAAUCCUGGUGGUAAAUUAGCAGGCUGGCUAUGCUGUGCCAGAGCCUGCCAGUCCCCUUCAGACAGUU
Molecule: small nucleolar RNA, 132 nt
Organism: Lepisosteus oculatus (spotted gar)
Lineage: Eukaryota; Metazoa; Chordata; Actinopteri; Semionotiformes; Lepisosteidae
Source: Ensembl